This 406-nucleotide ribosomal RNA is filed under the name uncultured bacterium. RNAcentral describes it as "partial 16S ribosomal RNA". It matches the Rfam family "Bacterial small subunit ribosomal RNA", at positions 30 to 526 of the family's 1533-position model. The record is from RNAcentral.
AUUGAACGCUGGCGGCAGGCCUAACACAUGCAAGUCGAACGAGUGGCGGACGGGUGAGUAAUGUCUGUGAAAAUGCCUGAUGGAGGGGGAUAACUACUGGAAACGGUAGCUAAUACCGCAUACCUUCAGAUGUGCCCAGAGGGGAUUAGCUUGUUGGUGGGGUAACGGCUCACCAAGGCGACGAUACCUAGCUGGUCUGAGAGGAUGACCAGCCACACUGGAACUGAGACACGGUCCAGACGCCUCCGAGAGGCAGCAGUGGGGAAUAGUGCAAAAUGUGCGAAAGGCUGAUGCAGCCAUGCCGGGUGUAUGAAGAAGGCCUUCGGGUUGUAAAGUACUUUCAGCGGGGAGGCGUUACCCGCAGAAGAAGCACCGGCUAACUCCGUGCCAGCAGCCGCGGUAAUAC